CAAAACGAUCCCAACUAAAACUCCCUCCAGAAGCGAUGAUUUGAUCUUGCAAACUUCAUCACAAAUUGUGGAAUUGAGUGAUCCAGCAGUACCUUCAGCAAGAAAUCUUUCCAGUUCUCGAUAAGAAGGAUACUGGAUUGAUCGAAAUGGAUCUGAAAGAUAGAGUACUUCAUACUUUGCCCCUAGUGUCUCCACAGAACUGAUAAGCUCAAACAAAAUUUCACUUUCAGUUUGUGGUUCCUCAAAUCCUUUUGCAGAAUAGGAGCCCUCAUGGCAGAAUACAACCAGAUCUGCUUGC
This 298-nucleotide unclassified non-coding RNA is filed under the name Hevea brasiliensis (rubber tree). Lineage: Eukaryota; Viridiplantae; Streptophyta; Magnoliopsida; Malpighiales; Euphorbiaceae. The record is from RNAcentral.